UGGGGAAUUUUGGACAAUGGGGGCAACCCUGAUCCAGCCAUGCCGCGUGAGUGAAGAAGGCCUUCGGGUUGUAAAGCUCUUUCAGCCGGAACGAAACGGUCACGGUUAAUAACUGUGAUCACUGACGGUACCGGAAGAAGAAGCACCGGCUAACUACGUGCCAGCAGCCGCGGUAAUACGUAGGGUGCGAGCGUUAAUCGGAAUUACUGGGCGUAAAGCGUGCGCAGGCGGUUUUGUAAGUCAGAUGUGAAAUCCCCGGGCUUAACCUGGGAACUGCGUUUGAAACUACAAGGCUAGAGUGUGGCAGAGGGGGGUGGAAUUCCACGUGUAGCAGUGAAAUGCGUAGAGAUGUGGAGGAACACCGAUGGCGAAGGCAGCCCCCUGGGUUAACACUGACGCUCAGGCACGAAAGCGUGGGGAGCAAACA
RNAcentral lists this ribosomal RNA (427 nucleotides) under uncultured Nitrosospira sp. RNAcentral's name for it is "bacterial SSU rRNA". It matches the Rfam family "Bacterial small subunit ribosomal RNA", at positions 355 to 774 of the family's 1533-position model. The record is from RNAcentral. Lineage: Bacteria; Pseudomonadati; Pseudomonadota; Betaproteobacteria; Nitrosomonadales; Nitrosomonadaceae.